Molecule: RNA transcript, 936 nt
Organism: Schistocerca americana (American grasshopper)
Lineage: Eukaryota; Metazoa; Arthropoda; Insecta; Orthoptera; Acrididae
Exons: 4
Source: RefSeq, a predicted model, not a curated record
CAACGUGGCUCAUUUUAGAUAGCCCAUGAAUGAUGGUGUAUCUCUCCCUAAACCAAAUUAGCAAGGCUGUAUGUUAGGUGAAGCAUAUAAGUUCCAAAUGUAUAUGUUGUUUUGCUGCUUUGUUGCAAAUGGUAAAAGUUGUGUGACGUAACAAGAUCGGCCUAUAAUUGCGUGUCUGAUGGGGGUUUCAGAGAUGCUGUAAUGAGAUCGCUUUUUGUUUCCGAGUUUUGAACCGUUCUUAUAUGCAUAUCAGAUAUUGAGAAGAUUUUUCGCUAUGUCAGGGUUUUCGUACGGUGGCGUGUGGUAUUCGAACGUUUGUGGCGACUGAUGAUUUUUGUGAGACCCUUUCCUCUUGUUUAUCACGGGGUGAAACCCUUGAGUCUGAAAGCUAUAGCUGAAAUGGUCUAAGAAGAUCCCUGACAGCUCACAGCGCUCUUGCCAGCAUUCAGCGCGAAGUGAUAAUUGCUGCAGGCAAAAACGGGUAGCGUUCUACACAGCUGUGGCAAAAUCGCGGCAUGUGAUUCGUUGAGCCUAUGCAGCAUGCAGUGGCCAGAAAUGAUGUUAAGACCAUUCUCUUGUCAAAUAAGGGAAGUGGUGCUGGACAACCUAAAAGAAGCUAGAAACGUCAAGAAUUUCUGGUUUCACAAGAUUUGCUCCGAGUCUCCAAACAGAAAUUUGCAGAUCAUCAGUAGCAUAUGACAUUUCCCAUAUCUUAUUUGGUUGGAAAAGGUUUUGCUGCGUCAUCACAUUAAUCAGACUAGUCUGCAAUGAUUUGUAACACAGUAAUAGAUUGUAAGUGUGAUACAGAAUAUUUAUUUUAAAGCAUAUAUCUGUUGAGAGCAGAGCCAUUUGUACCAUCUUUUCAUACAUUGAUAUUUCACAAGUAUUUAUUAACUUUGUUUUGCCAUUAGUGUGUAGCAUUUACCAAAGCUUUCA